GUGCUUGCUAUGUGCCUGACUGAUGAAAAUAAAACAGCUUGCUUCAAGUAUGCCUAUUCUUCAAGUAUGCCUAUUCUCCCCUCUUUAGAGAACAGCUCAUUUUGAUCUUUCUCUAAACCUUGUUUAAUCCAAAAGACAGAUUCUGGGUAUUUAAAAAAAAAAAGAAUCUCAUAACCACUGAAGCGCUGGGCUGUCAUGUGUUGUGUGGUGAGAUUUGUCAUCAGCUGAGUGACCUGGUGACUGGCAUGAAGUAUUGUAGGAUGCCCU
Molecule: non-coding RNA, 267 nt
Organism: Pelobates cultripes (western spadefoot toad)
Lineage: Eukaryota; Metazoa; Chordata; Amphibia; Anura; Pelobatidae
Source: the annotation of a GenBank genome assembly